UGAGGAAUAUUGGUCAAUGGGCGAGAGCCUGAACCAGCCAAGUCGCGUGAAGGAAGAAGGUUCUAUGGAUUGUAAACUUCUUUUGUAAGGGAAUAAAAAGAGUUACGUGUAACUUAUUGUAUGUACUUUACGAAUAAGGAUCGGCUAACUCCGUGCCAGCAGCCGCGGUAAUACGGAGGAUCCAAGCGUUAUCCGGAUUUAUUGGGUUUAAAGGGUGCGUAGGCGGGCCCUUAAGUCAGUGGUGAAAGUUUGCAGCUUAACUGUAAAAUUGCCAUUGAAACUGAGGGUCUUGAGUGUAAAUAAGGUAGGCGGAAUGUGUUGUGUAGCGGUGAAAUGCUUAGAUAUUACACAGAACGCCGAUUGCGAAGGCAGCUUACUAAUCCAUGACUGACGCUGAGGCACGAAAGCGUGGGGAUCAAACA
This 422-nucleotide ribosomal RNA is filed under the name uncultured prokaryote. Its description in RNAcentral is "bacterial SSU rRNA". It matches the Rfam family "Bacterial small subunit ribosomal RNA", at positions 355 to 774 of the family's 1533-position model. The record is from RNAcentral.